CUGGUGCGUGUGGGAUUUGGGAUCCUGCUUCGGCAGCGACGGCGCGCUGCACGUGCCUCCUCAGUCGGUGUCGGUUCAAGAGCGUGCUCGCCUUGGCCCGUGUUGGUUUUCUGUGUUUCAUACCGGUCGUGAAGGCACUCGGUGUCCCAAAUGUCCCUCUUCCGUCGUGCGCCGUUGCCCCUCGGGGUGUCGGCGUGGGGCGGACCGCGAAGACCCGCCGAGUUCCGCGUGCAGCGCCUGAAAUGGCGCCCGCGCGUCGGACCCCGGCGACGUGCUCGAUCUCUCGGAUGCGGAAUAUCCUGUGGGCAUGUGGCCAUCGGCCGCUAUCUGCCCCGAAACAAGCGUUUCACGCUUCGUGCGAACGACUGCCGUGCCCGUCUCGGUCGARCCCAUGCGGCUCGCUCCGUGCGGUCGCGGCGUC
This 421-nucleotide unclassified non-coding RNA is filed under the name Diplacus congdonii. RNAcentral's name for it is "partial external transcribed spacer". Lineage: Eukaryota; Viridiplantae; Streptophyta; Magnoliopsida; Lamiales; Phrymaceae. The record is from RNAcentral.